UACGAAGGGGGCUAGCGUUGUUCGGAAUUACUGGGCGUAAAGCGCGUGUAGGCGGUCUCGCAAGUCGGUCGUGAAAUCCCUAGGCUUAACCUAGGAACUGCGAUCGAAACUACAAGACUAGAGUAUCGGAGGGGGUGGCGGAAUUCCCGGUGUAGAGGUGAAAUUCGUAGAUAUCGGGAGGAACACCUGUGGCGAAGGCGGCCACCUGGAAGAUUACUGACGCUGAGACGCGAAAGCGUGGGGAGCAAACAGG
RNAcentral lists this ribosomal RNA (253 nucleotides) under uncultured bacterium. RNAcentral describes it as "partial 16S ribosomal RNA". It matches the Rfam family "Bacterial small subunit ribosomal RNA", at positions 524 to 776 of the family's 1533-position model. The record is from RNAcentral.